AGACCCGAAACCCGGUGAUCUAGCCAUGGGCAGGUUGAAGGUUGGGUAACACUAACUGGAGGACCGAACCGACUAAUGUUGAAAAAUUAGCGGAUGACCUGUGGCUGGGGGUGAAAGGCCAAUCAAACCGGGAGAUAGCUGGUUCUCCCCGAAAGCUAUUUAGGUAGCGCCUCGUGAAUUCAUCUCCGGGGGUAGAGCACUGUUUCGGCUAGGGGGUCAUCCCGACUUACCAACCCGAUGCAAACUGCGAAUACCGGAGAAUGUUAUCACGGGAGACACACGGCGGGUGCUAACGUCCGUCGUGAAGAGGGAAACAACCCAGACCGCCAGCUAAGGUCCCAAAGUCAUGGUUAAGUGGGAAACGAUGUGGGAAGGCCCAGACAGCCAGGAUGUUGGCUUAGAAGCAGCCAUCAUUUAAAGAAAGCGUAAUAGCUCACUGGUCGAGUCGGCCUGCGCGGAAGAUGUAACGGGGCUAAACCAUGCACCGAAGCUGCGGCAGCGACACUCAGGUGUUGUUGGGUAGGGGAGCGUUCUGUAAGCCUGCGAAGGUGGCCUGUGAGGGUUGCUGGAGGUAUCAGAAGUGCGAAUGCUGACAUAAGUAACGAUAAAGCGGGUGAAAAGCCCGCUCGCCGGAAGACCAAGGGUUCCUGUCCAACGUUAAUCGGGGCAGGGUGAGUCGACCCCUAAGGCGAGGCCGAAAGGCGUAGUCGAUGGGAAACGGGUUAAUAUUCCCGUACUUGGUGUUACUGCGAAGGGGGGACGGAGAAGGCUAUGUUGGCCGGGCGACGGUUGUCCCGGUUUAAGCGUGUAGGUGUGUGUUCCAGGUAAAUCCGGUUCACUUUAACACUGAGGCGUGACGACGAGGCACUACGGUGCUGAAGCAACAAAUGCCCUGCUUCCAGGAAAAGCCUCUAAGCAUCAGGUAACAUCAAAUCGUACCCCAAACCGACACAGGUGGUCAGGUAGAGAAUACCAAGGCGCUUGAGAGAACUCGGGUGAAGGAACUAGGCAAAAUGGUGCCGUAACUUCGGGAGAAGGCACGCUGACACGUAGGUGAAGUGAUUUACUCAUGGAGCUGAAGUCAGUCGAAGAUACCAGCUGGCUGCAACUGUUUAUUAAAAACACAGCACUGUGCAAACACGAAAGUGGACGUAUACGGUGUGACGCCUGCCCGGUGCCGGAAGGUUAAUUGAUGGGGUCAGCGCAAGCGAAGCUCCUGAUCGAAGCCCCGGUAAACGGCGGCCGUAACUAUAACGGUCCUAAGGUAGCGAAAUUCCUUGUCGGGUAAGUUCCGACCUGCACGAAUGGCGUAAUGAUGGCCAGGCUGUCUCCACCCGAGACUCAGUGAAAUUGAACUCGCUGUGAAGAUGCAGUGUACCCGCGGCAAGACGGAAAGACCCCGUGAACCUUUACUAUAGCUUGACACUGAACAUUGAGCCUUGAUGUGUAG
RNAcentral lists this ribosomal RNA (1450 nucleotides) under Salmonella enterica subsp. enterica. RNAcentral's name for it is "partial 23S ribosomal RNA". It matches the Rfam family "Bacterial large subunit ribosomal RNA", at positions 711 to 2141 of the family's 2925-position model. Lineage: Bacteria; Pseudomonadati; Pseudomonadota; Gammaproteobacteria; Enterobacterales; Enterobacteriaceae. The record is from RNAcentral.